AAUUUAAAAGGGUAUUUACGGAAACGGAUAGGCUCGCGUGACAUUAGCUAGAUGGCGGGGUAACGGCCCACAUGGCAACGAUGUCUAGGGGUUCUGAGAGGAAGGUCCCCCACACUGGAACUGAGACACGGUCCAGACUCCUACGGGAGGCAGCAGUGAGGAAUAUUGGUCAAUGGUCUAACGACUGAACCAGCCAUGCCGCGUGAAGGUCACGGCCCUAUGGGUCUUAAACUUCUUUUGUAAGGGAGCAAUAAGUCUCACGUGUGGGAUGAUGAGAGUACCUUACGAAUAAGCAUCGGCUAACUCCGUG
RNAcentral lists this ribosomal RNA (310 nucleotides) under uncultured bacterium. RNAcentral describes it as "bacterial SSU rRNA". It matches the Rfam family "Bacterial small subunit ribosomal RNA", at positions 197 to 507 of the family's 1533-position model. The record is from RNAcentral.